UACRUGCAAGUCGGACGGCAUCCAAAACAGAGCUUGCUCAAUUUUAGUGAGAGUGGCGCACGGGUGCGUAACGCGUGAGCAACCUACCCAUAUCAGGGGGAUAGCCCGGUGAAAAUCGGAUUAACACCGCAUGACACAGCGACUCGGCAUCGAGAUGUUGUUAAAUAUUUAUAGGAUAUGGAUGGGCUCGCGUGACAUUAGCUAGUUGGUAAGGUAACGGCUUACCAAGGCAACGAUGUCUAGGGGCUCUGAGAGGAGAAUCCCCCACACCGGUACCGAGACACGGACCAGACUCCUACGGGAGACAGCAGUAAGGAAUAUUGGACAAUGGAGGGAACUCUGAACCAGCCAUGCCGCGUGCAGGAUGACUGCCCUAUGGGUUGUAAACUGCUUUUGUCCAGGAAUAAACACCUCUACGUGUAGAGGCUUGAAUGUACUGGAAGAAUAAGGAUCGGCUAACUCCGUGCCAGCAGCCGCGGUAAUACGGAGGAUCCGAGCGUUAUCCGGAUUUAUUGGGUUUAAAGGGCGCGUAGGCGGCCUAUUAAGUCAGGGGUGAAAGACGGCAGCUUAACUGUCGCAGUGCCUUUGAUAC
RNAcentral lists this ribosomal RNA (592 nucleotides) under Sphingobacterium alimentarium. RNAcentral's name for it is "bacterial SSU rRNA". It matches the Rfam family "Bacterial small subunit ribosomal RNA", at positions 52 to 633 of the family's 1533-position model. The record is from RNAcentral. Lineage: Bacteria; Pseudomonadati; Bacteroidota; Sphingobacteriia; Sphingobacteriales; Sphingobacteriaceae.